AUUGAACGCUGGCGGCAUGCUUUACACAUGCAAGUCGGACGGCAGCACAGAGAAGCUUGCUUCUUGGGUGGCGAGUGGCGCACGGGUGAGUAAUAUAUCGGAACGUACCGAGUAAUGGGGGAUAACUAAUCGAAAGAUUAGCUAAUACCGCAUAUUCUCUGAGGAGGAAAGCAGGGGACCUUCGGGCCUUGCGUUAUUCGAGCGGCCGAUAUCUGAUUAGCUAGUUGGUGGGGUAAAGGCCUACCAAGGCGACGAUCAGUAGCGGGUCUGAGAGGAUGAUCCGCCACACUGGGACUGAGACACGGCCCAGACUCCUACGGGAGGCAGCAGUGGGGAAUUUUGGACAAUGGGCGCAAGCCUGAUCCAGCCAUGCCGCGUGUCUGAAGAAGGCCUUCGGGUUGUAAAGGACUUUUGUCAGGGAAGAAAAGGCUGUUGCUAAUAUCGACAGCUGAUGACGGUACCUGAAGAAUAAGCACCGGCUAACUACGUG
This 490-nucleotide ribosomal RNA is filed under the name uncultured bacterium. RNAcentral's name for it is "partial 16S ribosomal RNA". It matches the Rfam family "Bacterial small subunit ribosomal RNA", at positions 30 to 507 of the family's 1533-position model. The record is from RNAcentral.